Nematostella vectensis (starlet sea anemone) is the source of this 83-nucleotide non-coding RNA. The record is from Rfam. NCBI's taxonomy places the organism in Eukaryota, Metazoa, Cnidaria, Anthozoa, Actiniaria, Edwardsiidae.
ACCAGGAUGGCCGAGUGGUUAAGGCGUUGGAGUUAAGUUCCAAUGUACGAAUGUACGCGUGGGUUCAAACCUCACUCCUGGUA